This 302-nucleotide long non-coding RNA is filed under the name Echeneis naucrates (live sharksucker). RNAcentral's name for it is "lncRNA (ENSENLG00000019547.1)". Lineage: Eukaryota; Metazoa; Chordata; Actinopteri; Carangiformes; Echeneidae. The record is from RNAcentral.
UAGGCAUCACAGGAGAAGAGAGAGGAGACGGGGAGAGAAAUGCGGCCCCGAGCCGGCCAUAUCCACCAGGAAUACACCCUGGAGGAUCAGAGCAGGCAGUGCUGACGCAACAACAGCAGGCCAUUAUCAACCAGCAAGCUAUUAUUUUGGCCCAGCAGAUGACCAUGCAGGCCAUUGCCAUCCAGCAGCAGAUGUUGUCCUCUUUCCCCCCUGUUGCCCCUGCCCCCCAAUCACCACCUUCACAGCAUCACACACACAUGCAGCAAUGCUCCCACGCACCCAGUCCUGUGAGUAAAUACGCA